Long non-coding RNA from Bactrocera dorsalis (oriental fruit fly), 321 nucleotides. RefSeq lists it as uncharacterized. The record is from RefSeq and is a predicted model, not a curated record. The transcript has 2 exons. NCBI's taxonomy places the organism in Eukaryota, Metazoa, Arthropoda, Insecta, Diptera, Tephritidae.
AGCAGAAAAACUUGCGCACUCGUCUCUUUCGAUCGAUCUCACAACGAUAUUGCAGAGAUUUGGAAGCAUGACAAAGAAUAUAUUAACCAGAACCUGCUCGUAUCGCUGAAGUACAUAAAUUCAUAUAUCCAGAAUGAGUUAACACGGUCUCAACCGAAGGUUGGAUGGUUCACUGCUUAGUGAUGUCAACAAUUGAGCCGAACUUGGAACCAGUAUUUUGUAAACUUUUUUUAUGUCACGAGAAAUGUGUGUAAUGGCAGUUUGCUUUAGCUGAAAAUCGAUUUUUAAUUUAUGAACAUUAAAAAAUUCAGAUAAUUUCAA